RNAcentral lists this ribosomal RNA (294 nucleotides) under uncultured bacterium. RNAcentral's name for it is "partial 16S ribosomal RNA". It matches the Rfam family "Bacterial small subunit ribosomal RNA", at positions 775 to 1067 of the family's 1533-position model. The record is from RNAcentral.
GGAUUAGAUACCCUGGUAGUCCACGCUGUAAACGAUGAGUACUAGCCGUUAGAGCUAUAAAGAGCUUUAGUGGUGAAGCUAACGUAUUAAGUACUCCGCCUGGGGAGUACGGUCGCAAGAUUAAAACUCAAAGGAAUUGACGGGGGCCCGCACAAGCGGUGGAGCAUGUGGUUUAAUUCGAUGCAACGCGAAGAACCUUACCUGCACUUGACAUACCUGGGACCAGUCGUAAUGGAUUAGGUGCCGUAAGGAGCCAGGAUACAGGUGCUGCAUGGCUGUCGUCAGCUCGUGCCG